AUAUCAAUAAGCGGAGGAAAAGAAACUAACAAGGAUUCCCCUAGUAACUGCGAGUGAAGCGGGAAGAGCUCAAAUUUAAAAUCUGGUGGUCUUUGGCCAUCCGAGUUGUAAUUUAGAGAAGUGUUUUCUGUGCCGGACCAUGUACAAGUCUCCUGGAACGGAGCGUCAUAGAGGGUGAGAAUCCCGUCUUUGACAUGGACUACCGGGGCUUUGUGAUACACUCUCAAAGAGUCGAGUUGUUUGGGAAUGCAGCUCAAAAUGGGUGGUGAACUCCAUCUAAAGCUAAAUAUUGGCGAGAGACCGAUAGCGCACAAGUA
This 317-nucleotide ribosomal RNA is filed under the name uncultured Agaricomycetes. Its description in RNAcentral is "partial large subunit ribosomal RNA". It matches the Rfam family "Eukaryotic large subunit ribosomal RNA", at positions 40 to 350 of the family's 3401-position model. Lineage: Eukaryota; Fungi; Basidiomycota; Agaricomycetes. The record is from RNAcentral.